GCCGCGUCGACGAAGCGCGGGUAAGACCGCGUGGAGGACCGAACCCACCUAGGUUGAAAACUGGGGGGAUGAGCUGUGGGUAGGGGUGAAAGGCCAAUCAAAACUUCGUGAUAGCUGGUUCUCCCCGAAAUGCAUUUAGGUGCAGCGUCACGUGUUUCUUGCCGGAGGUAGAGCUACUGGAUGGCCGAUGGGCCCCACCGGGUUACUGACGUCAGCCAAACUCCGAAUGCCGGUAAGUGAGAGCGUGGCAGUGAGACUGCGGGGGAUAAGCUCCGUAGUCGAGAGGGAAACAGCCCAGAUCACCAGCUAACGGCCCCUAAGCGUGUGCUAAGGUGGGAAAGGAUGUGGAGUUGCUGUGACAACCAGGAGGUUGGCUUAGAAGCAGCCAACCCUUAAAAGAGUGCGUAAUAGCUCACUGGUCUAGCGCUCCUGCAACCGAAAAUGAACC
Molecule: ribosomal RNA, 448 nt
Filed under: uncultured bacterium
Lineage: Bacteria
Description: bacterial LSU rRNA
Rfam family: Bacterial large subunit ribosomal RNA
Source: RNAcentral